RNAcentral lists this ribosomal RNA (448 nucleotides) under uncultured prokaryote. RNAcentral describes it as "bacterial SSU rRNA". It matches the Rfam family "Bacterial small subunit ribosomal RNA", at positions 355 to 796 of the family's 1533-position model. The record is from RNAcentral.
UCGGGAAUCUUGCACAAUGGGCGAAAGCCUGAUGCAGCAACGCCGUGUGGGCGAGGAAGGUCUUCGGAUUGUAAAGCCCUGUUGUUGGGGACGAAGGGUGAAGGGUUAAUAGCCCCCAGCCUGACGGUACCCUUCGAGGAAGCCCCGGCUAACUACGUGCCAGCAGCCGCGGUAAUACGUAGGGGGCGAGCGUUGUCCGGAAUUAUUGGGCGUAAAGAGCGUGUAGGCGGCCCGGUAAGUCUGCCGUGAAAACCUGGGGCUCAACCCCGGGCGUCGGGUGGAUACUGCUGGGCUAGAGGAUGGUAGAGGCGAGUGGAAUUCCCGGUGUAGCGGUGAAAUGCGCAGAGAUCGGGAGGAACACCAGUAGCGAAGGCGGCUCGCUGGGCCAUUCCUGACGCUGAGACGCGAAAGCUAGGGGAGCGAACAGGAUUAGAUACCCGCGUAGUCC